GCGAACGCUGGCGGCAGGCUUAACACCUGCAAGUCGAGCGGGCAUCCUUGUGGUGUCAGCGGCAGACGGGUGAGUAACGCGUGGGAACGUGCCCUUCGGUUCGGAAUAACUCAGGGAAACUUGAGCUAAUACCGGAUACGUGCGAGAGCAGAAAGGUUUAUCUGCCGAAGGAUCGGCCCGCGUCUGAUUGCUAGUUGGUGAGGUUAUGGCUCACCAAGGCGACGAUCAGUAGCUGGUCUGAGAGGAUGAUCAGCCACACUGGGACUGAGACACGGCCCAGACUCCUACGGGAGGCAGCAGUGGGGAAUAUUGGACAAUGGGGGCAACCCUGAUCCAGCCAUGCCGCGUGAGUGAUGACGGCCUUAGGGUUGUAAAGCUCUUUUCUUCGGGACGAUAAUGACGGUACCGGAGGAAUAAGCCCCGGCUAACUUCGUG
This 435-nucleotide ribosomal RNA is filed under the name uncultured bacterium. RNAcentral describes it as "partial 16S ribosomal RNA". It matches the Rfam family "Bacterial small subunit ribosomal RNA", at positions 29 to 507 of the family's 1533-position model. The record is from RNAcentral.